This 72-nucleotide transfer RNA is filed under the name Pectinodesmus pectinatus. RNAcentral's name for it is "tRNA-His". It matches the Rfam family "tRNA". From Rfam's summary of the family: Transfer RNA (tRNA) molecules are approximately 80 nucleotides in length. Their secondary structure includes four short double-helical elements and three loops (D, anti-codon, and T loops). The record is from RNAcentral. Lineage: Eukaryota; Viridiplantae; Chlorophyta; Chlorophyceae; Sphaeropleales; Scenedesmaceae.
GCGGGCGUAGCCAAGUGGUAAGGCAAUGGAUUGUGACUCCAUCACUCGCGGGUUCGAACCCCGUCGUUCGCC